UCGCGGCGGUGUGCGCAGAAGGGUCUGGGCUCGAGCCUGCCUGGAGCCGCCGCCGGUGCAGAUCUUGGUGGUAGU
Molecule: ribosomal RNA, 75 nt
Filed under: Chlorogomphus soarer
Lineage: Eukaryota; Metazoa; Arthropoda; Insecta; Odonata; Chlorogomphidae
Description: Chloropetalia soarer partial 28S ribosomal RNA
Source: RNAcentral